UCUAACAGUCACGUACGGCUUUCCCUCAGGAACAUGGAUGUCAGGCCACAUGUGUGAGAGGCACAGCUACAAAAUGAGCAUCACGGAUGUUCGUCCUUGAAGUUGAAUUUUCAGAGCUGAAGGAAUAGUUUGAAGCUGAAGUGUCUUCCAGCCUGGUUAUGAGAAUUACAGAACCUAAACCAUGGCUUACACAUGUUGUUUGCUUUGGAAAAUAAAAACCUGCUUUUGAAAGCAUCUGAGUACACAGAAACGAGGUGAUGAUCUUCUCUUUCGUUUUUCAAUGUUUAUGUUGGAGUAGUGCUCAGAGCCCCCAGAAUUGAAGAAAUGAACUGCUCUGCAGUCGUUCAUGAAGAAGUUGUCACGACUCCUAAUGUGCCUGCCUGCUCCACUGCUACAAACUGUGCCACAGUGCAGCAAAGAAUUGAAUGGUUUCUGAAGCAAGUGUGUGAGGAAACCUGGCUUUUCAGCCUCACAAGGUAGUUGCUGGGAGGAAGGGAGAGAGGAAAGGAAAGAGAGGAGGCUGGGAUUUCUGAGACUGCGUCAGUACUUUAAGGAGUUGUUGAAUAAAGCAUCUCACAUA
Pygoscelis adeliae (Adelie penguin) is the source of this 580-nucleotide long non-coding RNA. RefSeq lists it as uncharacterized. NCBI's taxonomy places the organism in Eukaryota, Metazoa, Chordata, Aves, Sphenisciformes, Spheniscidae. The transcript is spliced from 2 exons. The record is from RefSeq and is a predicted model, not a curated record.